GGGCAGUCAUCGCCGAGUCCCCGUCAGGCGCGAGCCUGGGGAGCCGGGGACCCACGCAGUCCCUGGGGUGAAUCGGAGUCCCGAGCCGCGAACCGGCGGCGCGGGGAUCCGUAGGAGACCUUCCUGCUCCGAACCCGUCAGCUAACCCGGUAGGCGAGAAGGAAGGAAAG
RNAcentral lists this small RNA (170 nucleotides) under Streptomyces sp. RNAcentral's name for it is "c-di-AMP sequence". It matches the Rfam family "c-di-AMP riboswitch aptamer (ydaO/yuaA leader)". Rfam says of the family: This family represents a conserved RNA structure found upstream of the ydaO and yuaA genes in Bacillus subtilis and related genes in other bacteria. The ydaO/yuaA element is thought to act as a genetic "off" switch for the ydaO and yuaA genes in its native state. It is believed that the element may be triggered during osmotic shock leading to activation of ydaO, a predicted amino acid transporter gene, and members of the yuaA-yubG operon which code for KtrA and KtrB K+ transporters. The record is from RNAcentral. Lineage: Bacteria; Bacillati; Actinomycetota; Actinomycetes; Kitasatosporales; Streptomycetaceae.